CAGGACGCUGUGAUCUCUUCGGAGUGAACUUGUCGCUGACGAGUGGCGGACGGGUGAGUAAUGCUUAGGAAUCUGCCCAGUAGUGGGGGACAACACGGGGAAACUCGUGCUAAUACCGCAUACGCCUUACGAGGGAAAGUGGAGGAUCUUCGGACUUCACGCUAUUGGAUGAGCCUAAGUCGGAUUAGCUAGUUGGUGGGGUAAUGGCCUACCAAGGCGACGAUCCGUAGCUGGUCUGAGAGGACGAUCAGCCACACUGGGACUGAGACACGGCCCAGACUCCUACGGGAGGCAGCAGUGGGGAAUAUUGGACAAUGGGGGCAACCCUGAUCCAGCAAUGCCGCGUGUGUGAAGAAGGCCUGCGGGUUGUAAAGCACUUUCAGUAGAGAAGAAAAGCUUAGGGUUAAUACCCCUGAGUCUUGACGUAACCUACAGAAGAAGCACCGGCUAACUCCGUGCCAGCAGCCGCGGUAAUACGGAGGGUGCGAGCGUUAAUCGGAAUUACUGGGCGUAAAGCGCGCGUAGGCGGUCUGGUCAGUCGGAUGUGAAAGCCCAGGGCUUAACCUUGGAAUUGCAUUCGAUACUGCCAAACUAGAAUGUUGGAGAGGGAAGUGGAAUUUCCGGUGUAGCGGUGAAAUGCGUAGAGAUCGGAAGGAACACCAGUGGCGAAGGCGGCUUCCUGGCCAAACAUUGACGCUGAGGUGCGAAAGCGUGGGUAGCGAACAGGAUUAGAUACCCUGGUAGUCCACGCCGUAAACGAUGAGAACUAGUUGUCGGGAGGGUUUAGCCUCUCGGUGACGCAGCUAACGCGUUAAGUUCUCCGCCUGGGGAG
RNAcentral lists this ribosomal RNA (832 nucleotides) under uncultured bacterium. RNAcentral describes it as "bacterial SSU rRNA". It matches the Rfam family "Bacterial small subunit ribosomal RNA", at positions 62 to 880 of the family's 1533-position model. The record is from RNAcentral.